CCUACGGGUGGCAGCAGUGAGGAAUAUUGGUCAAUGGGCGGGAGCCUGAACCAGCCAAGUCGCGUGAGGGAAGAAGGUACUGAGUAUUGUAAACCUCUUUUGCCAGGGGACAAAGGCGGCCACGGGUGGCCGUAAGAGGGUACCUGGAGAAAAAGCAUCGGCUAACUCCGUGCCAGCAGCCGCGGUAAUACGGAGGAUGCGAGCGUUAUCCGGAUUCAUUGGGUUUAAAGGGUGCGUAGGUUGUUUUAUAAGUUAGCGGUGAAAUACCGAUGCUCAACAUCGGGGCUGCCGCUGAUACUGUAGGACUAGAGAUCGGAUGCAGCAGGCGGAAUGUGUAGUGUAGCGGUGAAAUGCAUAGAUAUUACACAGAACACCGAUUGCGAAGGCAGCUUGCUAGGCCGGAUCUGACACUGAUGCACGAAAGCGUGGGGAUCGAACAGGAUUAGAUACCCCUGUAGUC
This 460-nucleotide ribosomal RNA is filed under the name uncultured bacterium. RNAcentral describes it as "partial 16S ribosomal RNA". It matches the Rfam family "Bacterial small subunit ribosomal RNA", at positions 338 to 795 of the family's 1533-position model. The record is from RNAcentral.